Triticum aestivum (bread wheat) is the source of this 4108-nucleotide long non-coding RNA. RefSeq lists it as uncharacterized. Lineage: Eukaryota; Viridiplantae; Streptophyta; Magnoliopsida; Poales; Poaceae. The record is from RefSeq and is a predicted model, not a curated record. The transcript is spliced from 2 exons.
UAACCAACUAUUAUUGCAUGAGGCUCACAAUCUAGUUUAUUUAAACUUAUAAGGACCCUAGCCAACUUGCCUCCAGAAUGGUCCCCCGAUUUGGGCUUCGUUGGUUGUUGGAUCUGUCUUCUGGCACGCCUGAGCAGUUGGAUCUUCACAGCAAUCAAAACUGAUUUUCACUUCCCAGUCAUUUUCGUUGUCCGAUGACGGGUGGGCUCGCGACACGCGCUGGUUGGCUGGGUUGCCCAUUUUCGCGUGUAGGUCCACUUUGCCCAAUCUGCUCCAUACGCUCCUCCCUCCCGAUCCCCAUCCUCUCGUCCACAACCCUAGCCCCUUCCCCUCGAUCCUCAUGGCCCAUCCCUCCUCCUUGCUCGUCACUGCCGCUACCUGCUGCUCCCUCUCCACCAUCGUGCCUGCUUAUUGAUCACAAUAUCCCCUCUACCUGAUUGAGAUCGGGCGUAGGUUAGGCGAGCCCGAUGGUGGGUUGGGUGAGGCUAUAGGGAGAGGGAGGAGGCCGGCGGCGUGGUGAAGGAGUUGACUUGCCCUCGUGGAGGCGGCGCCAUCGGCCAGGGACGGCAUUUGCUCGUCGGACGACGUCCGAGCUCGUCUCACCCUCACAGCGACGACCAACAACUCAAGUAGGAAGGGUGAGGGGCCAUCAAGAUCUAGCCCAGGGCAUGCUCCCUGGCGCCCGCACAUAGAGGACUGGCCGCUGGUCGCCGGUUGGUCCUCCUGUUCUCUCCUCGUGCCACCGUCCUGCACCUCCUCCAUCCCUCGAUUCAGCAAAGGCGAUGGAGAUCAAGAACCGGGGCGGCACACAUUGUCCUCCUAUUUCUCCUACCACCAACCCUAGAGAUGGCAGCGGCAAGGAGUUGAGCCAGGUGUCUCGAUGAGGUGGUCCAUGCUGAGGAAGAGGGCGUCCAUAUGUUCCUGUUCAUGGCCUUGUUGUGGUUGCACCAUGGUCCGUAGGGAACAAGAACACCACUACUACAACCCAAGUCUGGACAUGACAUCUCUAUGUGACUGCAUAUUUAAUUUGUACAUCUAUUUGGUUGCACACUACAUAUUUGGUCUUUUUUACAUUUAUUUUUGACUUCAUUUGCGGCUAGCUGACUGCAGCAUGCUUUACUGACUCAUCUAUGGACACACAAGUCAAGGAAAACCAUAUGAGUCUAUUUCGACUGCUUGCCACGGGAAAGUGCCCACUAGAUUCAUAUUUGCUUGAACCAUGAUCAUACCAUUAAAAUGUGUAACUAUGUAUGGAUCAACAAAGUUUACAUUUCGUGCAUUAAGCUGGUUAGGCCCCUUUCAGUGUUGUUCGACCAAUUAGACACUUGUUAUCCUAUCUAAAAUGGUAGUUCAGCUUUCAAUAAUUAGAUUAUAAAUUGGUGUAUGUUUAUUAUGCCUUGUCGUUUCUUUCCCCUUAUUCUUAACGAUUGAUUACCUUUGUUCCUAGAUCCUGUAGGCUGUAGCUGGCCUUCCUUUUGCUAGGAUUUUUUUCUUCCAAAUUUGAUAAUGUAACCUGCUAAAGCAUGAUCAACAGAUUUGUCUAACCAAUUAACAUCUCUCAUUAAUUGUGAGAACCAAGCCAAUGAAAAUGGGCAUGAAUCGGUCUUGUCAAAGUCUACUAUUCAGUGCUUGCAUAUGUUAGAUUGCUGAUGUUCACAAAACUGCAUGUACCUUUUGCCAACAAAAUUGUUGAUGAAUUGCAGAUUUAGAAAAUUAGUUUGGCAUAGCUCAAAACUAUUUUCCUUGACUCAAAUCAAGGUUGUUCGAUAUCAUGAAAUAAGCAACAUGCCUCUUGCGAAACCAUAUUUUAAAUUUGCAAUUUGGAAACUGGGUUUUUGUUUCUCGCGCCUUUUCUUUUAAAACAUCACCAGAACUUAGGGUCACAAUUAAUAGUAAGGUGCAAUCUCAGUCAUUUAGUGACAUACUUCAGUUCAGACUUUGCAGAGCCAGAGUUGUUUAUUAAUACUUUCCGUUACAUUGCCCGCAUCUGUAUACAUAAGUUCUUAUGUUUUUAGAACACUCUAGCUAGGCUUAACUAUUUCUGUUGACAAAUCACAUUCUUAUCUUAAAAUACAUCGAUGAUUACUGGAGUUCCAGAGAAACAUUCUUUUUAUUGUUUCCAGAGAUCAAGAUAUCGCGAACCAUUCAUGGGAUUCAAAGGGAUGUGCAACAUAUGUGGUGCCUUAUUCAAGCUAAGCCGGGUUAUUGAAGUAAUUGUUCUUCGGAUAUUUCUUUAAUUUUUCGUAAUAUGAUGUCGAGAUAACCACGGUGACUCCUCUAUAGUGUUUGGUUUUCGUAGAAAUCUUUUCAUUUUGCCAAUUUCAUUUAUCGCUCAUUUUUUGGGAGUACUCAGCUGAUUUGUAUGACACCCUUAAUAAAGUUUUUUUAAGACCUACAUUCAGUUAGUCAUCCAUUGGCACUUUAGUCUUGUGAAGUGCCUAUGUUAUUAGUCAAAAUCUCAUUCCCUCGCAAUACCACAUUAGAAUCGGUUCAAAGCUUGGUUUAGUCUUGAAUGUAACGUAUGUUUUUUUAUCUUUAUAAUAUUUAUUAUGUUGCUAAUUUGUAGUGCUUCAGUUUCGUCAGUCGUCACAUGAACAUGAUGAACGUGAAUAGACAACGAAAGAACGAAAGAAGGAGAUAAAGUUCCUUGCGUCGAUGCAUGCACCCAUUCGGCCAGCCGUAUUGUCAUUCUUCUCCAAAGAUCUUAUCCAUAUAUUGGUCAGAAAAUAAGUGGAAAAGAUAGAAAGACAGAGCCUUGGUUAGGUUUUUGUUGGCAAAUAAUCUGGAAGUAGCAGUUAUGGCCAACAUGAUUUAUUAUCAUAUACUCCCUCCAUAAACAAAUAUAAGAGCGUUUAGAUCACUAAAGUAGUGAUCUAAAUGCUCUUAUAUUUAUUUACAGAGGAAGUACUUUAUAAUGCAGAGGAAGGUCGGGUUCUGGAAAUCGGAGUCAAUGGUGGAUCAGAGAGGUGUUUGUGCAUCAUGCUUCUGUUUGGAAAAACUAUGAUCAUUGUUUCGUUAGGUGUCCUCUUCUUAGUUCAUCCUGCAGCUAGAAUAAAAUGCUUUGGUUUUCCUUUGUGCUCGGUGUUGGUAGUUAGCAGAGUCCUGGAAAUAUAGACGCUCCAACAAAAUCCACUAAAAAUGAUAGGGUACAUAAGUAACUUGCCUUAUCUAGCUCAUGCUUCGAGGAGCAGUUUGAAACUUCUGUUUCUGGUUUUUUGGGGAGAUAUUCUAGCUGGUAUUUAUUCUGGUCAUUCUUGCAUCAAUUUCAUUAAAAUCACUUUGAUUUCUUCUAUCAUGAAUGCAAAUAUGCAUUUCCUCUAUAAAGAGCCUGCUACAGACUAGCUUUGAUCUAAUUGAUCGAUAAUGACUCUGUUAUUAGAGAAUUCCUUUUCGAUGGGAAGAGAAUGUUGUUUUAUUUUGUAUUUAGUUAUUAUAUUGGUGAUCAUAGAAUACAUAUGUUACAAUAUCCCUUUUUGCAUCGUCGAAUCCCAUUCAGCAUGAAAAAGUAUUUUUUGUCAAAUAAAUGAUUUGCAUCAUGCGACCAUGUUCCUUUUUUAUGCAGUUUGCCAAUAGCCUAUGGUUGAGUACUCCCUAUGGUGUUAAUCUUCUAAUUCAUUCACCAGAUUAUUUUUUGCGCCUUCUGGUUGCAUAUCCACUUUAAUAAUAAACUUAUAGUAGUACUAUGUGUUGUUUGUUAUCUACCUCGAUGUCGUACUGAUUUCUAUUUUUUCACAAUUGCAGGCGCCAUAUUAGUGUUUCUUAUUAUCUACCUUGAUGCCAUACUAAUUUCUGUGAUUCCAAAAUUGCUGGCACCACUUCCUAUUGCCUGUUGGUGCAAGGACCCACGCCUUCGAUAUGAGAAAUGUAAAGGAUGGAUCAAUUGGCAUUGCCAGGUCAUGUUUAGUUCUUUGUCUCUCAAACGACAUGCAUCUCUCAACACAAUACUAGGUUAAUGAACUGCUAAAGCUACAAUGUAGAUGCAUUGUGACUUUAUUUUCUAGGUACUAACUUCAGAUGUCCAAUUUGUUACCUGUACCAAUGUAUCCUCAGGAUAUUGACUUUACAUAAACAAUCUGCUGCAUACUAAUGUAUAUUUUUACACAAGCUA